Molecule: ribosomal RNA, 109 nt
Filed under: Prolemur simus (greater bamboo lemur)
Lineage: Eukaryota; Metazoa; Chordata; Mammalia; Primates; Lemuridae
Source: RNAcentral
GUCUACAGCCAUAACACCCUGAACGUGCCCGAUCUCGUCUGAUCUCGGAAGCUAAGCAGGGUCGGGCCUCGUUAGUACUUAGAUGAGAGGAAAGAUGAUACUAUAUACA